RNAcentral lists this ribosomal RNA (231 nucleotides) under uncultured bacterium. RNAcentral's name for it is "partial 16S ribosomal RNA". It matches the Rfam family "Bacterial small subunit ribosomal RNA", at positions 28 to 259 of the family's 1533-position model. The record is from RNAcentral.
GACGAACGCUGGCGGCGUGCUUAACACAUGCAAGUCGAGCGGUAAGGCCCUUUCGGGGGUACGACGAGCGGCGAACGGGUGAGUAACACGUGGGUGACCUGCCCUCAGCUCUGGGAUAAGCCUGGGAAACUGGGUCUAAUACUGGAUAUGACUCCACGGUGCAUGUCGUGGGGUGGAAAGCCUUGUGCGGCUGAGGAUGGGCCCGCGGCCUAUCAGCUUGUCGGUGGGGGA